This 23-nucleotide non-coding RNA is filed under the name Arabidopsis thaliana (thale cress). The record is from RNAcentral. Lineage: Eukaryota; Viridiplantae; Streptophyta; Magnoliopsida; Brassicales; Brassicaceae.
GGCGAUGUCAAGUAGAUAUGAGC